GACGAACGCUGCGGCGUGCCUAAUACAUGCAAGUAGAACGCACAGUUUAUACCGUAGCUUGCUACACCAUAGACUGUGAGUUGCGAACGGGUGAGUAACGCGUAGGUAACCUGCCUGGUAGCGGGGGAUAACUAUUGGAAACGAUAGCUAAUACCGCAUAAUAUUAAUUAUUGCAUGAUAAUUGAUUGAAAGAUGCAACUGCAUCACUACCAGAUGGACCUGCGUUGUAUUAGCUAGUAGGUGAGGUAACGGCUCACCUAGGCGACGAUACAUAGCCGACCUGAGAGGGUGAUCGGCCACACUGGGACUGAGACACGGCCCAGACUCCUACGGGAGGCAGCAGUAGGGAAUCUUCGGCAAUGGACGAAAGUCUGACCGAGCAACGCCGCGUGAGUGAAGAAGGUUUUCGGAUCGUAAAGCUCUGUUGUAAGAGAAGAACGGGUGUGAGAGUGGAAAGUUCACACUGUGACGGUAUCUUACCAGAAAGGGACGGCUAA
Molecule: ribosomal RNA, 497 nt
Filed under: Streptococcus gordonii
Lineage: Bacteria; Bacillati; Bacillota; Bacilli; Lactobacillales; Streptococcaceae
Description: bacterial SSU rRNA
Rfam family: Bacterial small subunit ribosomal RNA
Source: RNAcentral